This 2142-nucleotide ribosomal RNA is filed under the name Phallocephale tallagandensis. RNAcentral describes it as "SSU rRNA". It matches the Rfam family "Eukaryotic small subunit ribosomal RNA". The record is from RNAcentral. Lineage: Eukaryota; Metazoa; Onychophora; Udeonychophora; Euonychophora; Peripatopsidae.
CGCUUGUCUCAAAGAUUAAGCCAUGCACGUCUAAGUACUCGCCUUGGUUUAAUUAAAGUGAAACCGCGAAUGGCUCAUUAAAUCAGUUAUGGUUCACUAGACCGUACCACAUCCUACUCGGAUAACUGUGGUAAUUCUAGAGCUAAUACAUGCAACUAGGCCCCGCCCGGCCGCCCCGUCCGUCAAAACGACGGUCGGUCGGAAAGGGCGCCAUUAUCAGCUCAAAACCGACCGGGUCCGCCUGCGCCACCCUCGUGACGGCCAGGCUCCCGUUCUCGUUGACCCUUUGACGACUCUGGAUAACCUCCUAGCGGAUCGCCGGUAAACAUUAGGUCGGCCGGGCGGCAACGUCCGCGUCCGACCUAACGGCGACUAGUCUUUCGAAUGUCUGCCUUAUCAACUGUCGACGGUAGGUUAGACGCCUACCGUGGUCGUAACGGGUGACGGGGAAUCAGGGUUCGAUUCCGGAGAGGGAGCCUGAGAAACGGCUACCACAUCCAAGGAAGGCAGCAGGCACGCAAAUUACCCAAUCCCCGAACGGGGAGGUAGUGACGAAAAAUAACGAUACGGGACUCUUAACGAGGCCUCGUAAUCGGAAUGAGUCCGCUCUAAAUCCUUUUAACGAGGAUCUAUCGGAGGGCAAGUCUGGUGCCAGCAGCCGCGGUAAUUCCAGCUCCGAUAGCGUAUAUUAAAGUUGCUGCGGUUAAAAAGCUCGUAGUUGGAUUUGGGUUUUCGGGCCGGCGGGCCGCCGCCUUCGAGCGGCGCGUCUCCCGCCGCGCCCCCGGAACCGCACGGUCGCAGAGGCCCCCGCGGUGCUCUUCAGUGAGUGUCCGCCGGUUCGGGUCGCCGAACGUUUACUUUGAAAAAAUUAGAGUGCUCCAGGCAGGCCGGUAAAGCGUUGUUUAAAAAAGACCCGCGCCUGAAUAGUCACGCAUGGAAUAAUGAAAGAGGACCGGUGGUCCUAUUUUGUUGGUUUUCGGGAUUUUCCGCCGUCAUGAUUAAGAGGGACGGCCGGGGGCAUUCGUACCGCGGCGCGAGAGGUGAAAUUCUAGGACCGCCGCGAGACGAACCGUUGCGAAAGCAUUUGCCAAGAAUGUUUUCCUUAAUCAAGAACGAAAGUCAGAGGUUCGAAGGCGAUCAGAUACCGCCCUAGUUCUGACCGUAAACGAUGCCACCUGACGAUCCGCCAGGGUUACUACCAUGACUCGGCGGGCAGCCCCCGGGAAACCCAAGCCUUCGGGUUCCGGGGGAAGUAUGGUUGCAAAGCUGAAACUUAAAGGAAUUGACGGAAGGGCACCACCAGGAGUGGAGCCUGCGGCUUAAUUUGACUCAACACGGGGAACCUCACCCGGCCCGGACACCGCGAGGAUUGACAGAUUGAGAGCUCUUUCUCGAUUCGGUGGGUGGUGGUGCAUGGCCGUUCUUAGUUGGUGGAGCGAUUUGUCUGGUUAAUUCCGAUAACGAACGAGACUCUAGCCGGUUAAGUAGCCCGGAGCGGUUUUUGAUCUUUGCCGUCCGUCCUUUGUUUUUUCCCUUUUUCCCGUCCUCGGCCGACCGGUUCGGCAAGGUAUGCGGGAAGGCGGAGUGGGUGGCGGAGGAGAGANNNNNNNUUUUUUUCCGUUUUUUCCUACUUUUAACCUUCUCGCCGUCUUUGUCCGUUUCCCGAGCGGUCGAGACGGAAGGGGAGCUUAGGCGGAAGCAUAACCGAAGGCCGUCGGCUUUUACAGGAAGCUUCUUAGAGGGACGAGCGGCGUUCAGCCGCCCGAGAUUGAGCGAUAACAGGUCUGUGAUGCCCUUAGAUGUCCGGGGCCGCACGCGCGCUACACUGAAGGGCUCAGCGUGCUCGUUUCUCCCGAGCCGACAGGCUCGGGGAACCCGUUGAAACCCUUUCGUGCUAGGGACAGGGACUUGCAAUUGUGUCCCUCCAACGAGGAAUUCCCAGUAAGCGCGAGUCAUCAGCUCGCGUUGAUUACGUCCCUGCCCUUUGUACACACCGCCCGUCGCUACUACCGAUUGAACGAUUUAGUGAGGUCUUCGGACCGGUGGCCGUUCCGAGCCGUCGCUACCUUUCGGGGUCGGCGGUUUUUUCUUUCGGGGUCGGCCGGCCGGGAAGAUGCCCGAACUUGAUCGUUUAGAGGAAGA